Molecule: microRNA precursor, 59 nt
Filed under: Melibe leonina
Lineage: Eukaryota; Metazoa; Mollusca; Gastropoda; Nudibranchia; Dendronotidae
Description: microRNA mle-mir-216b precursor
Gene: mle-mir-216b
Source: miRBase by way of RNAcentral
UAAUAUCAGCUGGUAAUCCUGAGUUGUGGUGGAGUCUCAGGAGACUAGUUGGUAUUUCA